CCCCUACUUGUUAGUUGCCAUCAUUCAGUUGGGCACUCUAGCGAGACUGCCGGUAAUAAACCGGAGGAAGGUGGGGAUGACGUCAAAUCAUCAUGCCCCUUAUGACCUGGGCUACACACGUGCUACAAUGGUUGGUACAACGAGUUGCGAGUCGGUGACGGCGAGCUAAUCUCUUAAAGCCAAUCUCAGUUCGGAUUGUAGGCUGCAACUCGCCUACAUGAAGUCGGAAUCGCUAGUAAUCGCGGAUCAGCACGCCGCGGUCGAAUACGUUCCCGGGCCUU
This 281-nucleotide ribosomal RNA is filed under the name uncultured Streptococcus sp. RNAcentral's name for it is "partial 16S ribosomal RNA". It matches the Rfam family "Bacterial small subunit ribosomal RNA", at positions 1098 to 1382 of the family's 1533-position model. The record is from RNAcentral. Lineage: Bacteria; Bacillati; Bacillota; Bacilli; Lactobacillales; Streptococcaceae.